Molecule: ribosomal RNA, 460 nt
Filed under: uncultured bacterium
Lineage: Bacteria
Description: partial 16S ribosomal RNA
Rfam family: Bacterial small subunit ribosomal RNA
Source: RNAcentral
CCUACGGGUGGCAGCAGUGAGGAAUAUUGGUCAAUGGACGAGAGUCUGAACCAGCCAAGUAGCGUGAAGGAUGACUGCCCUAUGGGUUGUAAACUUCUUUUAUAUGGGAAUAAAAUGUUCCACGUGUGGGAUUUUGUAUGUACCAUAUGAAUAAGGAUCGGCUAACUCCGUGCCAGCAGCCGCGGUAAUACGGAGGAUCCGAGCGUUAUCCGGAUUUAUUGGGUUUAAAGGGAGCGUAGGUGGAUUGUUAAGUCAGUUGUGAAAGUUUGCGGCUCAACCGUAAAAUUGCAGUUGAAACUGGCAGUCUUGAGUACAGUAGAGGUGGGCGGAAUUCGUGGUGUAGCGGUGAAAUGCUUAGAUAUUACGAAGAACUCCGAUUGCGAAGGCAGUUCACUGGACUGCAACUGACACUGAGGCUCGAAAGUGUGGGUAUCAAACAGGAUUAGAUACCCUUGUAGUC